Molecule: transfer RNA, 66 nt
Filed under: Anopheles farauti
Lineage: Eukaryota; Metazoa; Arthropoda; Insecta; Diptera; Culicidae
Description: tRNA-Tyr
Rfam family: tRNA
About the family: Transfer RNA (tRNA) molecules are approximately 80 nucleotides in length. Their secondary structure includes four short double-helical elements and three loops (D, anti-codon, and T loops).
Source: RNAcentral
GAUUAAAUGGCUGAAGGUUAGGCGAUAAAUUGUAAAUUUAUUUAUGAGAAUUAUUCUCUUUAAUCA